CAAAUAAUUCCCAAGUGCUGAAGAUUAGAUGAGUAAGCAUCGCAGCUGAUACCCUCCUUAUCAGUAAACCUGGAAGAGGAACAAGUCUCUCUCGCAUCCAGCAGCCUCUGCAAUCCGUGGCAGCUAAGUAUCUCUAGUCUUCUUAGAGUUGUGGGUAGCUGGUGUCUUCCAAUGGAAAUUAGAGAAUCACACUCAAAAAUUUUCAACUCCUCAAGACACAAACUUUUAUAAAUCACUGCAUCUGGCAAAGAAAUAAGUCUCGGGCAGUUUUCAAUAGAUAGCUUUCUCAGAGACUUAAAACUGUGAAGCAAUGGCGGUAGUCUCUCAAGCCUUUCACAAAGAUGAAAUUCUAAAAUUCUUAUUUCACUAUCAGCGACGCCCUUUUGCAACAACUCUUCAUUUUCAGCGA
Molecule: unclassified non-coding RNA, 409 nt
Filed under: Hevea brasiliensis (rubber tree)
Lineage: Eukaryota; Viridiplantae; Streptophyta; Magnoliopsida; Malpighiales; Euphorbiaceae
Source: RNAcentral